UGCAUGGAAAAUAGAUACGACUUUCCAAUG
Molecule: non-coding RNA, 30 nt
Filed under: Rattus norvegicus (Norway rat)
Lineage: Eukaryota; Metazoa; Chordata; Mammalia; Rodentia; Muridae
Source: RNAcentral